Long non-coding RNA from Manis pentadactyla (Chinese pangolin), 348 nucleotides. RefSeq lists it as uncharacterized. Lineage: Eukaryota; Metazoa; Chordata; Mammalia; Pholidota; Manidae. The record is from RefSeq and is a predicted model, not a curated record. The transcript has 3 exons.
AAGACUAUCAGCUCUCAUCCUAGCUCCAAAACAAGACAAGACAAGAAAGGAUCCUCCGGUUGACAGACAGACUUCCAGCGUUUCAGGAAAAAGGAAAAUGUUUCUUCAGUUCAGGGCAUCUGAAUCAUAUUUCCAAGGGGACAGGCAUUUUCAGGACAGAAUAAAAUAUCCAAAGAUGCAGAGCAGACAACUUUCAAAACUGCAGACCAAUCCUUCUGUGCUGGAAGUGGGAUAUCACAGUUAAGAGAAGAGCACAGAUCCUGGAUCAGACAGAUUUGGUGUCGGAUCCCAGCCCCGAUGUCACUUAACCUCUCAAACUCUUAGUUUCUGUCAGGCCAGGAUAACAAG